UGUGUCUGUGCCGAGUAUCGAUGGCUAACACAAUUCUGGAAUUUCGUUCGUCUGUCUUUCUUUCCUGUUUUCUUCGUGGUCACUUUUCCUAUCUACCUACUUACAUAUGGUUUUUGGAAUCCGGUGUUGUCAGCAGUUCUUGUAGUCUUACAUGUCGUGUGGUGGUGUUGCAGUGUGCGAGUAAGUGUGAUGUGAUGGGGGUCAGGGAAACAGUUCAGGACAAAGGAAAAAUCACCCCCUGUAAGGAUACAGAGGAAUGAGGGUAGGAGGAAAACAGAGUGGAGGACGAGAGAGACGGAAAAGUAGUUUUGGGGUGCCGAGGAGAGAGAGAGAGAGAGAAGGGAAAGGCGAGAGGGAGAGCAGGAUGGCCGUGCCAGGAGGCUUUAGGGAGGAGGGAGGUACGGACGGAGGAUGCAGGGAAGGUGUGAGGAAGAUGAGUCAGCUCACAGAGUUGGAAAAGAUAUAAAAGGCGUAGCCUUUAGAGUAGGAAAAUGCAUAGCCCCAGGCAGCUUAGUCUUCUCG
Molecule: small RNA, 522 nt
Filed under: Cryptococcus neoformans H99
Lineage: Eukaryota; Fungi; Basidiomycota; Tremellomycetes; Tremellales; Cryptococcaceae
Description: Cryptococcus neoformans var. grubii H99 hypothetical RNA
Source: RNAcentral